GACUUCUUCUGCAACUGACGGAAUUAAGGUGGUUACCACCGGGGAGCUGGAGAUAUUUUAUAAGCCGACCGUCUGGGCAGAAAGA
Molecule: non-coding RNA, 85 nt
Filed under: Deltaproteobacteria bacterium
Lineage: Bacteria; Pseudomonadati; Myxococcota; Myxococcia
Description: ZTP sequence
Rfam family: ZMP/ZTP riboswitch aptamer (pfl RNA motif)
About the family: Previously known as pfl RNA.
Source: RNAcentral